Molecule: long non-coding RNA, 341 nt
Filed under: Brassica napus (rape)
Lineage: Eukaryota; Viridiplantae; Streptophyta; Magnoliopsida; Brassicales; Brassicaceae
Description: long non-coding RNA (BNAP_LNC004708)
Source: RNAcentral
CAAAGCUCUAGCAGCAUGGUCUAUGUCUCUUGUUUUUGUAGAAGUCGUUGAACGAGUUAUUGGGUUGAGUUGGUCAACAUUAAACAAGUCAUUGAGUUCGUUUACGAGAUUCCGAGGAGUAAUUGUUUUGAAUAAAUUUCAUGUAAACAAAGUCUUGGGAUUUUCUGUUUGAGUUGUGAGCUGUAUAUAUAGUCAUCGUUUAUUCUCAAUAAGAAAAAACACAGUUGCUUUAUAUUUUGUUUCAGUUUUUUCCUUGAUAUAUUAAAAUUCUUGAUACUCUUUUGCUCCUUUCAGAUGUCCGGCCUGAAUUCCGAUAAGCGUGACUUCUAUGGUGUUUAUCC